Molecule: long non-coding RNA, 771 nt
Organism: Raphanus sativus (radish)
Lineage: Eukaryota; Viridiplantae; Streptophyta; Magnoliopsida; Brassicales; Brassicaceae
Exons: 2
Source: RefSeq, a predicted model, not a curated record
CAAAACUUAAACAAAAAUAAAUAACGUUUUGGUUUUGGCUUCAGAUUAUUUGGUUUUGACAUUAAAUAUUUUAGGUCUCCCACGUUUUGAGAAUAUGCUCUAUCUCAUAACCCCUUUUUGCGCACGAUCUCUAUCUCAUAAUUCUAUUUAACUCUUAUAUCUCUCUUUUUUGGUGUUGCCUCCAUCUACUAUUUUCUCUCUUUCUCAAGCAAAUCAACAAUCCUGCUAGAUUCUUCUGUUUUUAUUCGUUUCAUCCAUUUGAUUCUAUCUUUAUCUCUUAUUUUCUUCCUUUUCUUUAUAUUAAUCUCUGCGAUUUUAAGGUUUCAGGUACAAAGCUCUUUUCACUCAUUAAAGGUCGAACUUUUUAGCCUACUGCCUAUCAACGACUCCAAGGAUCCGUAAUGCCAAUGGAAUUUACUAAUCGAUAUUUCUGAUUCAGAUCAUCAGAUGUUGAUACAGCCACUACUUUGUAGUAGAUCUGACCACUACAGCGUUAAAGGCUUUCAUCAAGACUAUAUGAACAGCCAAUGCCAAUGAUGAUAGCAAAAGUGUAGAAAAGGGUGGAAGGAGAAGCUACGAAUCUCGUUUGGCUGCUGCGGUUUGACGGAGGCAAAGGAGGUGGCGUAGGACAGUAGGAGACCAGUUUACCCUAGUUUGCUUUGCUUUGGUUUGUAUCAUAAUUGGUUAUCUACUACCAGCUUAAUUUUUGUAACCAGUUAACCGAUUGGUAUGGGUUGUCAAUAAAAUAUAUUCUAAUUACUAAUUUCUUUU